RNAcentral lists this ribosomal RNA (253 nucleotides) under uncultured bacterium. RNAcentral's name for it is "partial 16S ribosomal RNA". It matches the Rfam family "Bacterial small subunit ribosomal RNA", at positions 524 to 776 of the family's 1533-position model. The record is from RNAcentral.
UACGAAGGGGGCUAGCGUUGUUCGGAAUCACUGGGCGUAAAGGGCGCGUAGGCGGACGUUUAAGUCGGGGGUGAAAUCCCGUGGCUCAACCCCGGAACGGCCUUCGAUACUGGGCGUCUCGAGACCGGGAGAGGUGAGUGGAACUGCGAGUGUAGAGGUGAAAUUCGUAGAUAUUCGCAAGAACACCGGUGGCGAAGGCGGCCAACUGGUCCGACACUGACGCUGAGGCGCGAAAGCGUGGGGAGCAAACAGG